UUAGCUAGUUGGUAGGGUAACGGCUUACCAAGGCGACGAUGUCUAGGGGCUCUGAGAGGAGAAUCCCCCACACUGGUACUGAGACACGGACCAGACUCCUACGGGAGGCAGCAGUAAGGAAUAUUGGUCAAUGGGCGGAAGCCUGAACCAGCCAUGCCGCGUGCAGGAUGACUGCCCUAUGGGUUGUAAACUGCUUUUGUCCAGGAAUAAACCUGUCUACGUGUAGAUAGCUGAAUGUACUGGAAGAAUAAGGAUCGGCUAACUCCGUGCCAGCAGCCGCGGUAAUACGGAGGAUCCGAGCGUUAUCCGGAUUUAUUGGGUUUAAAGGGUGCGUAGGCGGCCUAUUAAGUCAGGGGUGAAAUACGGUGGCUCAACCAUCGCAGUGCCUUUGAUACUGAUGGGCUUGAAUCCAUUUGAAGUGGGCGGAAUAAGACAAGUAGCGGUGAAAUGCAUAGAUAUGUCUUAGAACUCCGAUUGCGAAGGCAGCUCACUAAGCUGGUAUUGACGCUGAUGCACGAAAGCGUGGGGAUCGAACAGGAUUAGAUACCCUGGUAGUCCACGCCCUAAACGAUGAUAACUCGAUGUUGGCGAUAGACAGCCAGCGUCC
RNAcentral lists this ribosomal RNA (607 nucleotides) under Sphingobacterium multivorum. RNAcentral's name for it is "bacterial SSU rRNA". It matches the Rfam family "Bacterial small subunit ribosomal RNA", at positions 241 to 848 of the family's 1533-position model. The record is from RNAcentral. Lineage: Bacteria; Pseudomonadati; Bacteroidota; Sphingobacteriia; Sphingobacteriales; Sphingobacteriaceae.